CCAAUAGCGUAUAUUAAAGUUGUUGCAGUUAAAAAGCUCGUAGUUGAAUUUCGGGGUUAGUAGGUUGGUCAUGCCUCUGGUAUGUACUGGUCUCACUGAUUCCUCCUUCCUGAUGAGCCGUAAUGCCAUUAAUUUGGUGUUGCGGGGAAUUUGGACUGUUACUUUGAAAAAAUUAGAGUGUUUAAAGCAAGCUAACGCUUGAAUACAUUAGCAUGGAAUAAUGAAAUAGGACGUUCGAUCCUAUUUUGUUGGUUUCUAGGAUUGACGUAAUGAUUAAUAGGGAUAGUUGGGGGCAUUAGUAUUCAAUUGUCAGAGGUGAAAUUCUUGGAUUUAUUGAAGACUAACUACUGCGAAAGCAUUUGCCAAGGAUGUUUUCAUUAAUCAAGAACGAAAGUUAGGGGAUCGAAGACGAUCAGAUACCGUCGUAGUCUUAACCAUAAACUAUGCCGACUAGGGAUCGGAUGAUGUUAAUUUUUUAAUGACUCGUUCGGCACCUUACG
Molecule: ribosomal RNA, 500 nt
Filed under: uncultured Glomus
Lineage: Eukaryota; Fungi; Glomeromycota; Glomeromycetes; Glomerales; Glomeraceae
Description: SSU rRNA
Rfam family: Eukaryotic small subunit ribosomal RNA
Source: RNAcentral